RNAcentral lists this transfer RNA (65 nucleotides) under Araneus ventricosus. RNAcentral's name for it is "tRNA-Gly". The record is from RNAcentral. Lineage: Eukaryota; Metazoa; Arthropoda; Arachnida; Araneae; Araneidae.
UGCAUCGGCCGGAAUCGAGCGGCCGCCCGCGUGGCAGGCGAGCAUUCUACCACUGAACCACAUGC